Molecule: non-coding RNA, 990 nt
Filed under: Hemiechinus auritus (long-eared hedgehog)
Lineage: Eukaryota; Metazoa; Chordata; Mammalia; Eulipotyphla; Erinaceidae
Description: partial 12S ribosomal RNA
Rfam family: Bacterial small subunit ribosomal RNA
Source: RNAcentral
AAACAUUUUAAAUUUAAAGGUCUGGUCCCAGCCUUCCUAUUUAUUGUCAGUAAAUUUACACAUGCAAGUAUCAGCUACCCAGUGCAAAUGCCCUCUAACCCUAACAUGGUAUAAAGGAGCAGAUAUCAAGUACACAUAAAAAGUCGCUUAUGACAUCUUGCUUAGCCACACCCCCACGGGAAACAGCAGUGAUAAAUAUUGAGCUAUGAACGAAAGUUUGACUAAGUUAUACUGAUUUUAGGGUUGGUAAAUCUCGUGCCAGCCACCGCGGUCAUACGAUUAACCCAUAUAAAUAGGUAAUCGGCGUAAAGAGUGUUUAAGAUAUUUAUAUAAUGAAAUUAAAAAAUAAUUUGGAUGUAAAAAGCUUAAAUUAUAUAUUAAAAUCAACUACAAAAGUGUUUUCAUAAAAUCUUAAUACACGUGAGCUAAGACCCAAACUAGGAUUAGAUACCCUACUAUGCUUAGCCCUAAACCUAGAUAGUUACUUAACAAAACUAUACGCCAGAGAACUACGAGCCACAGCUUAAAACUCAAAGGACUUGGCGGUGCUUUAUACCCCCUAGAGGAGCCUGUUCUAUAAUCGAUAAACCCCGCUCAACCUUACCAAUCUUUGCUAAUUCAGCCUUUAUACCGCCAUCUUCAGCAAACCCUAAAAAGGAAAAAAAGUAAGCACAAUAAUCUUCAACAUAAAAAAGUUAGGUCAAGGUGCAGCCUAUAGAUUGGAAUGAAAUGGGCUACAUUCUUUUUUAAAAAGCAUAACGGAAAUUUUCAUGAAACUGAAAAUUGAAGGAGGAUUUAGUAGUAAAUUAAGAGUAGAGUGCUUAAUUGAACUCGGCAAUGAAGCAUGCACACACCGCCCGUCACCCUCUUCAAAUACAUUAAAUCGCAUAUAAAUAUAUACAUUAAUUAUAUUACAACGAUAAUAGUUUAUAAGAAGAGAUAAGUCGUAACAAGGUAAGUAUACUGGAAAGUGUACUUGGACAAUCGGAG